UGGGGAAUAUUGGGCAAUGGGGGAAACCCUGACCCAGCAACGCCGCGUGAAGGAAGAAGGCCUUCGGGUUGUAAACUUCUUUUACCAGGGACGAAAGAAAUGACGGUACCUGGAGAAAAAGCAACGGCUAACUACGUGCCAGCAGCCGCGGUAAUACGGAGGGUGCAAGCGUUAUCCGGAUUUAUUGGGUUUAAAGGGUGCGUAGGCUGUAAGUCAAGUCAGCGGUGAAAAGUCGGGGCUAAACCUUGAGGGUGCCGUUGAAACUGAUUUACUAGAAUGUGGAUGAUGCCGGCGGAAUGUGUCAAGUAGCGGUGAAAUGCAUAGAUAUGACACAGAAGGCCGAUUGCGAAGGCAGCUGGCAAAGGCACGAUUGACGCUGAGGCACGAAAGUGCGGGGAUCGAACAGGAUUAGAUACCCUGGUAGU
Molecule: ribosomal RNA, 425 nt
Filed under: uncultured Pontibacter sp.
Lineage: Bacteria; Pseudomonadati; Bacteroidota; Cytophagia; Cytophagales; Hymenobacteraceae
Description: bacterial SSU rRNA
Rfam family: Bacterial small subunit ribosomal RNA
Source: RNAcentral